UGGUCCUACGGGAGGCAGCAGUGGGGGAUAUUGCACAAUGGGGGAAACCCUGAUGCAGCGACACCGCGUGGGUGAAGAAGCGCUUCGGCGUGUAAAGCCCUAUCAGUGGGGAAGAAAAAGGACGGUACCCAAAGAAGAAGCACCGGCUAAAUACGUGCCAGCAGCCGCGGUAAUACGUAUGGUGCAAGCGUUAUCCGGAAUGACUGGGUGUAAAGGGAGCGUAGACGGUUUAGCAAGUCAGAAGUGAAAGCCCGGGGCUUAACUCCGGGACUGCUUUUGAAACUGUUGAACUAGAUUGCAGGAGG
RNAcentral lists this ribosomal RNA (305 nucleotides) under uncultured bacterium. Its description in RNAcentral is "bacterial SSU rRNA". It matches the Rfam family "Bacterial small subunit ribosomal RNA", at positions 334 to 655 of the family's 1533-position model. The record is from RNAcentral.